RNAcentral lists this ribosomal RNA (1372 nucleotides) under uncultured bacterium. Its description in RNAcentral is "bacterial SSU rRNA". It matches the Rfam family "Bacterial small subunit ribosomal RNA", at positions 28 to 1381 of the family's 1533-position model. The record is from RNAcentral.
GAUGAACGCUGGCGGCGUGCCUAAUACAUGCAAGUCGAGCGAACGGACGAGAAGCUUGCUUCUCUGAUGUUAGCGGCGGACGGGUGAGUAACACGUGGAUAACCUACCUAUAAGACUGGGAUAACUUCGGGAAACCGGAGCUAAUACCGGAUAAUAUUUUGAACCGCAUGGUUCAAAAGUGAAAGACGGUCUUGCUGUCACUUAUAGAUGGAUCCGCGCUGCAUUAGCUAGUUGGUAAGGUAACGGCUUACCAAGGCAACGAUGCAUAGCCGACCUGAGAGGGUGAUCGGCCACACUGGAACUGAGACACGGUCCAGACUCCUACGGGAGGCAGCAGUAGGGAAUCUUCCGCAAUGGGCGAAAGCCUGACGGAGCAACGCCGCGUGAGUGAUGAAGGUCUUCGGAUCGUAAAACUCUGUUAUUAGGGAAGAACAUAUGUGUAAGUAACUGUGCACAUCUUGACGGUACCUAAUCAGAAAGCCACGGCUAACUACGUGCCAGCAGCCGCGGUAAUACGUAGGUGGCAAGCGUUAUCCGGAAUUAUUGGGCGUAAAGCGCGCGUAGGCGGUUUUUUAAGUCUGAUGUGAAAGCCCACGGCUCAACCGUGGAGGGUCAUUGGAAACUGGAAAACUUGAGUGCAGAAGAGGAAAGUGGAAUUCCAUGUGUAGCGGUGAAAUGCGCAGAGAUAUGGAGGAACACCAGUGGCGAAGGCGACUUUCUGGUCUGUAACUGACGCUGAUGUGCGAAAGCGUGGGGAUCAAACAGGAUUAGAUACCCUGGUAGUCCACGCCGUAAACGAUGAGUGCUAAGUGUUAGGGGGUUUCCGCCCCUUAGUGCUGCAGCUAACGCAUUAAGCACUCCGCCUGGGGAGUACGACCGCAAGGUUGAAACUCAAAGGAAUUGACGGGGACCCGCACAAGCGGUGGAGCAUGUGGUUUAAUUCGAAGCAACGCGAAGAACCUUACCAAAUCUUGACAUCCUUUGACAACUCUAGAGACAGAGCUUUCCCCUUCGGGGGACAAAGUGACAGGUGGUGCAUGGUUGUCGUCAGCUCGUGUCGUGAGAUGUUGGGUUAAGUCCCGCAACGAGCGCAACCCUUAAGCUUAGUUGCCAUCAUUAAGUUGGGCACUCUAAGUUGACUGCCGGUGACAAACCGGAGGAAGGUGGGGAUGACGUCAAAUCAUCAUGCCCCUUAUGAUUUGGGCUACACACGUGCUACAAUGGACAAUACAAAGGGCAGCGAAACCGCGAGGUCAAGCAAAUCCCAUAAAGUUGUUCUCAGUUCGGAUUGUAGUCUGCAACUCGACUACAUGAAGCUGGAAUCGCUAGUAAUCGUAGAUCAGCAUGCUACGGUGAAUACGUUCCCGGGUCU